Molecule: ribosomal RNA, 811 nt
Filed under: uncultured Sphingobacteriales cum 'Crenotrichaceae' bacterium
Lineage: Bacteria; Pseudomonadati; Bacteroidota; Sphingobacteriia; Sphingobacteriales
Description: bacterial SSU rRNA
Rfam family: Bacterial small subunit ribosomal RNA
Source: RNAcentral
UCGUGGGGCAGCAUGACUGUAGCAAUACAGUUGAUGGCGACCGGCUAACGGGUGCGGAACACGUACACAACCUUCCUUCGAGUGGGGAAUAGCCCGGGGAAACCCGGAUUAAUACCCCGUAACAUAAUGGAGUGGCAUCACUUUAUUAUUAUAGCUCCGGCGCUUGAAGAUGGGUGUGCGACUGAUUAGGCAGUUGGCGGGGUAACGGCCCACCAAACCUACGAUCAGUAACUGGUGUGAGAGCACGACCAGUCACACGGGCACUGAGACACGGGCCCGACUCCUACGGGAGGCAGCAGUAAGGAAUAUUGGUCAAUGGACGCAAGUCUGAACCAGCCAUGCCGCGUGGAGGAUGAAGGCCCUCUGGGUUGUAAACUUCUUUUAUCUGGGACGAAAAAGGGACUUUCUAGUUCAACUGACGGUACCAGAGGAAUAAGCACCGGCUAACUCCGUGCCAGCAGCCGCGGUAAUACGGGGGGUGCAAGCGUUAUCCGGAUUCACUGGGUUUAAAGGGUGCGUAGGUGGGUUGGUAAGUCAGUGGUGAAAUCUCCAGGCUUAACUUGGAAACUGCCAUUGAUACUAUUAAUCUUGAAUACCGUGGAGGUCAGCGGAAUAUGUCAUGUAGCGGUGAAAUGCUUAGAUAUGACAUAGAACACCAAUUGCGAAGGCAGCUGGCUACACGAAUAUUGACACUGAUGCACGAAAGCGUGGGGAUCAAACAGGAUUAGAUACCCUGGUAGUCCACGCCCUAAACGAUGGAUACUCGACAUACGCGAUAUACUGUGUGUGUCUGAGCGAAAGCAUUAAGUAU